RNAcentral lists this ribosomal RNA (253 nucleotides) under uncultured bacterium. RNAcentral's name for it is "partial 16S ribosomal RNA". It matches the Rfam family "Bacterial small subunit ribosomal RNA", at positions 524 to 776 of the family's 1533-position model. The record is from RNAcentral.
GACGUAGGGGGCCAGCGUUGUUCGGAAUUACUGGGUGUAAAGGGUUCGUAGGCGGUGCGGCAAGUCGGGAGUGAAAUCUCUGGGCUUAACCCAGAGGCUGCUUCCGAAACUGCUGUGCUUGAGUGUGGGAGAGGCGCGUGGAAUUGCAGGUGUAGCGGUGAAAUGCGUAGAUAUCAAGAGGAACACCUGAGGCGAAGGCGGGUUGCUAGGCUGACACUGACGCUGAAGCGCGAAAGCCAGGGGAGCAAACGGG